Molecule: ribosomal RNA, 395 nt
Filed under: uncultured bacterium
Lineage: Bacteria
Description: partial 16S ribosomal RNA
Rfam family: Bacterial small subunit ribosomal RNA
Source: RNAcentral
AUACGGAGGGUCCGAGCGUUAAUCGGAAUUACUGGGCGUAAAGCGCGCGUAGGUGGUUCAGUCAGUCAGAUGUGAAAGCCCCGGGCUCAACCUGGGAACUGCACCUGAUACUGCUGAGCUAGAGUACGGUAGAGGGCAGUGGAAUUUCCGGUGUAGCGGUGAAAUGCGUAGAGAUCGGAAGGAACACCAGUGGCGAAGGCGACUGCCUGGACUGAUACUGACACUGAGGUGCGAAAGCUUGGUAGCAAACAGGAUUAGAUCCCCUGGUAGUCCACGCCGUAAACGAUGUCAACUAGCCGUUGGGGGACUUGAUCCUUUAGUGGCGAAGCUAACGCGAUAAGUUGACCGCCUGGGGAGUACGGCCGCAAGGUUAAAACUCAAAUGAAUUGGCGGGG